Long non-coding RNA from Aquila chrysaetos chrysaetos, 2721 nucleotides. RefSeq lists it as uncharacterized. The transcript has 3 exons. Lineage: Eukaryota; Metazoa; Chordata; Aves; Accipitriformes; Accipitridae. The record is from RefSeq and is a predicted model, not a curated record.
GAUCUUCCCAGCAGGUCCGGGCUGCAAUCCGGACCAAAGCCUGCCGGCCGCGCUUUGUCCCGCCGUGAGCGCGGGUUUCCGCGGCGUGGGGCAGGGAGCGCCCGCACCCCCGCCCCCGUGGCCGCGGAGGGUCGCCCGGCCGCUGCCGGCGAAGAGGCGAGGCUUCCCGUAGGAAAACAGCCUUAGCGUGCGGGCGGCGGGGGGAAUAAAUUGAGGAGGCGGGAAUAACGUCCCUGCGGAGGGACAGACGGCAGCGGAGCGCUGCAGGGCGCUCGGCGGCAGGGGUGGGGAAGGUCCAAGUACUCAUGCAUAAAAAGAAGAACACCCUGCAACCACAAAGGCCCAAUUCUGCUCUAACUUACGCUGGGUGGGCCAGAAGAUUACUUUGGAGCUCAUGUAAGUGACACUCCAAGGAAUGGCUGGCAGCGGGUUCAGCGGCCCCGGCCCCUGGAGCCGCAGGAUGUCAUCCCCGUGACAUGCCUGGAAACCCCAGCUCAUCCCUCAACUGUCCCGGUUACAGCAGCAUCUCCGUCAUGUUGCACUUCAAGUCUGUCACAGGCACGGGUUCACGCUCCUCACCCGGGAACCCUUCUCUUUUUUGCUGAGGACCAUAUUUUUAUUUUUAACACAGAGUCCUUCACAUCAGUGGCAGUGAGGGUUUCUUUUGCAAGAUGGCAUUCCGCCAUAGGAGGGGUUGGCUGGGGAUCACACACCAAAUGUACACACAUGUGCUAAGAGAGGAGCCGUGCGUGAAAGCCACCUAAACAUAAAUUUGAAAUUUAUUUCUUUUUCAGUGAUUUUGAAAGGUCUUGGGCCAGUAGCUCUGGACACCAGCUCUGGUCUCUGCACUUUCUCUUUCACAUCACUCUGUGGGAAGCAGUUUUUGGGAGACCUCUGCCUGCCUGGAGGUGUGGGGCUGUCCCGGCAGCUUUGCCCCACGCCAGCCACCCGGUUCCUGGAGCCCAGGACGCUCCUGGUGGGGGGACACAGCCAGAGCGCUCCCACCAGCUGUAGCCAGACAUUAUGGCUCAUGCUGGAGGGACUCACUGCCGGCACCGUAAUUGCAGGCUAGCUAGAUUUUUGCUGUGGUAUUACAAAUUCCCCCAGGGAAGCCCACAACUAUGACCAUUUACAUGGUAACAUUGUCAGGCAUGAGUCAUUUUCUUCUCUCUCUCUGUCUGUCUCUGUUUCUCCCUCACACACACACACUCACAAAUGCGAGCACAAAUCAACAAACUGGUAAAUAACAUUUAAAUGAUGCUUUAGUGCAUUUUCAGCCCUCUUUUUCUGGCUGAGUGUACAGUUUGAUGUACUUUUUUUUUGUUGCUAUAAAAUGUAGCACAAAAUGUGUGGGCCAUGUGAAUGUUUAUACCGGAAUGAUGACUUUUGCAUCUUCUGCUUCGUAUUAUGGUUUUUUACCGGGCUACCUUUAAGAGUCCUUUAACUAAAAAAUUAGUGAGGAAAAUGAAUCCUUAAAAACCAAAUCUUUCUCAAUAUAAUAAAACAGGAAACUUGCAAAGUGAGUGACAGGGUCACUGUUUAAGAAGUUUUUUCACCUGACUCUCCUUCAUUAAUGCUCCCGCUCUGCUAAGCUUCUUGCCGCCCUUUUCCUACACAUCCGAAUAAAUGCAAUGUGUGUAGUCUCAUUUUAUUGUACUGGCUACAUAGUCAUAAUUCACAUAAGUAAGUACUUGCAGGUUUGGUGUUCUUGGAUCUGAAUUCUUCUGUGAAGCAACUUUCUCGUGUACUCUGAAAUGUUCAGUUUGGUGCUUUUUUAAAAAAAAAAAAAAGAGCAUCCGCUAAAAGAAAGUUAGGAAUGUCGCUGCAAAGUUGUGGGGUGCCUGAAUGAAGGUUGCUUUUACAAGACAAAUAUGGCAGGUUUGUGCAUGCAUCCUGAUUGUCUGAGCAAUAUCCCGCAGGGGAUCGCUGCUGAACCACACACUCUGUCUUAAGCAGGAACGGAUUUGAUUUCCCCCCUCUCCUCCGCUUUUGUCACUCUUUCUCCAGCACAAUGCAUGAGACAGGGUGUGUGAAACCAGUGCUGUGUUGUCACCUAACAGGCAGGGUGAAAGGGCAGUACCGUAAAACGUAGCUCAGCUCAGGUGAUCCUGGAGAGUGUCAAAAUGGAGGAUGUAGGUGGAGUAAAAAGCAGGUAAAUUUGUGUACCACAGCGGGUGUCUGGGUGAAAAUUCUGGAUGCAGUGACCAGAUCUGUGUGGCCAAAUGUGUGCCGAAGACACCGCCGGGAAUGUGUGACUAUGAGUUUGGUGGCGAGGCCUCAGGUUUUGCAUUUUGUUAGAUUUACGUUUGUGGAGUGAGCAGAGGUUGAAUAAUUUAUGGUGGUGACCACUUAGAUACCAUAUGUCAUGUUUUUUUUAAAGCAGUAUGGUUUUUUUAAUACACAAAAGGGAACAGACACUGGAGCUGAACUUUCUUCAUUUUAUUCAAGAAAAGAAUACUUAAAAAUGCUUAGAGUAAAGGGAGCCCCUUUCUAUACACUUUGAAUCUGCACUAAACUUGACUAGUCAGCAUCACUCUGUCUUUCCAAUGAAAAAUAAAUCCAGAAUGAUUGCACAGUAUCACACACAAGAAGAAACAACAAGACUUUUACACCGGUCUCAGUAAGACAGCAUGCUUUAGUGUAGUUGUAAAGUUUAGUGAAAGCGUAUUUCUGUCCAUUGUUUAAAAAUGCAUAUUUAAAGAAAUAACGACUCAAUUCCCA